UGUAAGCGUAUACCAAAGUUGUUGCAGUUAAAACGCUCGUAGUCGGAAUUUGGCAGUUCCGGAUGUGUGCACGUCGUGUGCGCACUUCGCGGGGAUUGCUUUUGUGGUCUUGCGUAGGAUGAGGCACUUUUAUUAGUGAACGUCCUCACGCAACCACUUUUUACUGUGAGAAAAUCAGAGUGCUCAAAGCAGGCAUUUGCCGUGAAUGUAUUAGCAUGGAAUAAUAGAAUAGGACUUGGUUCUAUUUUGUUGGUUUGUUGGGACUGAGUAAUGAUUAAGAGGGACAGUUGGGGGCAUUUGUAUUUCGGUGCUAGAGGUGAAAUUCUUAGAUUACCGAAAAACAAACUGCUGCGAAAGCGUCUGCCAAGGAUGUUUUCAUUGA
RNAcentral lists this ribosomal RNA (382 nucleotides) under uncultured eukaryote. Its description in RNAcentral is "partial 18S ribosomal RNA". It matches the Rfam family "Eukaryotic small subunit ribosomal RNA", at positions 592 to 976 of the family's 1831-position model. The record is from RNAcentral.